CAAGGAUCUAUCCUGAAAGAGUUAAGCAGAGACAGGAAAAAAGUGGCAAUCAGGGAAACGACGUAUAGUAUGUGCAAUGGAGAAAAUCCUCUAUCUUGUAUACUGCCCCAGUGCACUUCUAGACAGAGGGUGGGACUGUAAAGGAGCUGUCCUUUCAUUUGGCUAUCCUGCAAGGCUCUUCUAUGUCAGUCCUUCUUCAGAAGCUGGAGAGGAUCUAUAGGCUGUCACCCCAUGGGACAUUGCAGAAGACCUCAGGAGUCCAGAUGGUGGACCUGUCUCCAUUGCCACAGACUGUACCAUUCAUCCCAAUCAGCCGUUCUACAGAAAGCA
Molecule: long non-coding RNA, 330 nt
Filed under: Equus caballus (horse)
Lineage: Eukaryota; Metazoa; Chordata; Mammalia; Perissodactyla; Equidae
Description: lncRNA (ENSECAG00000048936.1)
Source: RNAcentral